CGGCUGCAGAUUCCGAAAGGAUGCAGGUGAGGAAAGUCCGGGCUUCACAGGGCAGGAUGCCGGAUAACGUCCGGUGGGGGUGACCCUAAGGAAAGUGCAACAGAAAUAUACCGCCGGUUUUUACCGGUAAGGGUGGAAAGGCGUGUGUAAGAGACCACCGUUGUUCUGGUAACAGAGCAAGCCAUGUAAACCCCAUCCGAAGCAAGACCGCAUAAAAGGCCAUACGGCGGCCCGUCGUGCCUUUGGGUAGGUCGCUUGAGUUUGCCGGUAACGGCAAGCCUAGAUAGAUGAUUAUUCUCGACAUAACCCGGCUUAUCGACAGACUUG
Molecule: RNase P RNA, 327 nt
Filed under: chicken gut metagenome
Description: Bacterial RNase P class A
Rfam family: Bacterial RNase P class A
About the family: Ribonuclease P (RNase P) is a ubiquitous endoribonuclease, found in archaea, bacteria and eukarya as well as chloroplasts and mitochondria.
Source: RNAcentral